CCUACGGGAGGCAGCAGUGGGGAAUAUUGGGCAAUGGGCGCAAGCCUGACCCAGCAACGCCGCGUGAAGGAUGAAGGCUUUCGGGUUGUAAACUUCUUUUCUCAGGGACGAAAAAAGUGACGGUACCUUAGGAAUAAGCCACGGCUAACUACGUGCCAGCAGCCGCGUGAAUACGUAGGUGGCAAGCGUUAAACGGAUUUAUUGGUGUUAAAGGGCGUGUAGGCUGGAGUGCAAGUCAGAGGUGAAAACUUAGGGCGUAACCCUGACACUGCAUUUGAAACUGUGUGUCUUGAGUGCUAGAGAGGUAAGCGGAAUUCGGUGUGUAGCGGUGAAAUGCGUAGAUAGACGGAAGAACACCAGUGGCGAAGGCGGAUUGCUGGAUAGUAACUGACGCUGAGGCGCGAAAGCGUGGGGAGCAAACAGGAUUAGAUACCCUGGUAGUC
RNAcentral lists this ribosomal RNA (443 nucleotides) under uncultured bacterium. Its description in RNAcentral is "partial 16S ribosomal RNA". It matches the Rfam family "Bacterial small subunit ribosomal RNA", at positions 338 to 795 of the family's 1533-position model. The record is from RNAcentral.